GAGCUGAUCAAAUGGCUGGAGCCGCUGGAAAAGCUUCGCUUUGAGAUCGGCAGCAUUCCUUCUCUUAUCGCUUACAUAAAACAGAAUUUGGAAAACAUAUUAAAUGCUGAAGGAAGUGGACUGGUGACAGCUCUGAGGGUCCUCUGCCACAUUGCUUGUCCUCCUCCUCCUGUGGAAGGUCAGCAGAAGGAUCUCAAAUGGAGCCUCGCGGGUGUUCAGCUGUUCUCCGGAGAGGGCCUGGAUACCUGUGUCCGUGUCUUGCAGAAACUUUGCAGCGUGCUACUGCAGCCGUGGCGCUUGCACGGUCACAUGGGCCCCACGCCGCAGCGCUGCAUGAU
This is a long non-coding RNA of Oryzias melastigma (Indian medaka), 338 nucleotides long. RefSeq lists it as uncharacterized. The transcript is spliced from 3 exons. Lineage: Eukaryota; Metazoa; Chordata; Actinopteri; Beloniformes; Adrianichthyidae. The record is from RefSeq and is a predicted model, not a curated record.